RNAcentral lists this ribosomal RNA (301 nucleotides) under uncultured bacterium. Its description in RNAcentral is "partial 16S ribosomal RNA". It matches the Rfam family "Bacterial small subunit ribosomal RNA", at positions 509 to 807 of the family's 1533-position model. The record is from RNAcentral.
CAGUCGCCGCGGUAAAACGUAGGUGGCAAGCGUUGUCCGGAAUUAUUGGGCGUAAAGGGCUCGCAGGCGGUUUCUUAAGUCUGAUGUGAAAGCCCCCGGCUCAACCGGGGAGGGUCAUUGGAAACUGGGAAACUUGAGUGCAGAAGAGGAGAGUGGAAUUCCACGUGUAGCGGUGAAAUGCGUAGAGAUGUGGAGGAACACCAGUGGCGAAGGCGACUCUCUGGUCUGUAACUGACGCUGAGGAGCGAAAGCGUGGGGAGCGAACAGGAUUAGAGACCCCCGUAGUCCCUGUCUCUUAUAC